This is a long non-coding RNA of Prionailurus viverrinus (fishing cat), 3324 nucleotides long. RefSeq lists it as uncharacterized. The record is from RefSeq and is a predicted model, not a curated record. The transcript has 3 exons. Lineage: Eukaryota; Metazoa; Chordata; Mammalia; Carnivora; Felidae.
AGAGGAUGUCGGUUGACACCUCCUUGCCCAACCUCUCCAGAUCCCUGCUCGACAACCCUACCCUAUGAUCUCGGAGAGCUUGGCCUGAGCCACUGGUGGGUCUGGGGUCUCUCUCUGUAGGACAGUGGGCUUUUAGACCAGAGAGCCAACUCUCUGUCAUCCACACCCACAGGACCCAGAGAACCCCAGAGGUGCUCCAUCCUCAAGUUCUCAAUGGUGUGGGAUUGUAAUCUGUGGUCUCUAGGGAGUAUAAUUAUGAUGUGUCCCCUUCACCUAAUACCACAGUUUGUCUAUAUCCAGUGACCAUGAUGGGAACAGAAGGGGUGAUGGGGGAUGGAUCCAGGCAGGCUUCCUUUAGAUAGGGUUUUGGGUUUGUAGACUAACCAUGUUGGGAAGAGGGCUCAACAGGGAAAGAUCUGGGACCAUGGCAGGUAAGUCUGGGGCAGGAAUGCGGGGUAGGGCAGGGGGUCUAACCUGGUGAGUGUGGCUCAGCGGGGCGGCUGAGGUGUCUAAGUUCAAUGUAGAAGUCCUCGGGCGGGUACCUGGCCUCCAGGGCACUGAUCUGGAAAUGGGAGUCUAGUGAGAGGAAUGACAGGGAGGAGCCAUUAUUCCCAGGGCCCUGGAAUGGCAGGGUGGGGAGUAUGGAGGGGGUGAGGGUCAGGGUGGGGCAGGUUAGAAGGAAUUAGGGCCCCUAUGGGUAGUAGCCAAAGGGGCUAGGGCCAGGGGGAUCUGCUAGAGUUGAGGCCAAAGACCUUUCCUCCCUCACCCCCACCCCCCCUACAGGAAUUGGUGCCUACCAGGACAUCAGGGCAGAGGAAGCAGUCCUUGAAAAGAAGUACUUUGGCAGGGCCUGGCUCAGGGAAGGGUCCCUUUCUCAGAUGGCGAGUGCAUCUUUUGCCUGCAUCUGGAAGUCCCACAUCCAGGCUCUAGCUGUCUCCUUUGUGGUCCCUGGGUCAUAGCCACCCUCUCCCCUGAUAUAAAGGGCAUCCUGGGCUUCCUUUGCUUAUAAGAGCUGAAACCAAGGCUUGGGUUUCCUCCCUGUACCACUUCUCCAUGGGGAACCCAUGCUCAGGAUUCAUUUAACCUCCCUUGGAGUUAGGACAGGGCCCCUUUCCAUGUGGAAGGAGGAGAACAGGUGGGACAUGAUGGCAGGAGACCAGACUCAAAGCACUACUGACCUAACACGUUCACAAAGCUGUAUGGGGUCCAGCCUGCUGUUUCUCUGUCAAGGGACUUGUUACUGAGCUGUUUGGAGAGUAGGAGAGCAAGUUAAUCCCUUUGCUCCCAAGGUGCCCCUUCCCAGCCUUCACUUUGCCCAGCCUUGUGCACCCAACCCUGUGACGAUCCUGACCCACCUAUGUCUUAGAUCGUUGAGGGAAAGGAAGAGCUACAUGUAGCAUGGCAUGGCGGAGACCAGUGGGAGCAGAACCUGCCCCCUUCUAAGCUGUCUGGCUGAAAUUGUAGGGUUUGUGGCCCUUAGGACAAAGUAGGGCAGGGUGAACACAGAGCCAAGAACGGGGCGGAGCCUAGCUGGCUCUGACAGGGGAAGCAGGUCAGGUAGGUGGGGCUGAGCUGUAGAACAGGCUCUCCAGUGUCUUAGCUGCAACACGAGGCCAUUUUCAGUACAAAGAGAGGUGCUGAGAUUGCAACAUCACUGUCACCUCUGCUACCUGGCCGUGUGUGAGUCUUCCUUUUGUAUGAGCAAGGGAAAGCCUCAGCUUUGGCAUCAUUUUUGCCUCUAAUCUGCUGUAGCCUUGAUGUGGCUCUAGUUAAUCAAGGACUUUGUACUAAGAAAUCCAGAUUCCUUGCCCUCAGCUUCCAGCUCCUCAGUUAAGCCUAAAGCUGAAGCUGGGAAUGAGAGUCUGAGCUGAGGAGGGGAAGAAAGGGCCAAAGCCGUGGGGUCGAUGGCUACAGACUUUGCUUAUGGGCCUCAAGGUACCCUGCAUACAGCACUCCCAUUUCAUAGGAAAACUGAGGCUGAGAGCCUGUGGAAGAAAGUAGCCUUGGUGCUGGCUUGACAGUGGUUGCCGCUGGGGUUGAACUGUGUGUUAUUUUUAAGGGGUUCAAGCUGUGUUCUACCAGGUCUGAGGACUGGUGGACAUUUUCUGUGGGCCAGACUGGGAGAAAGGAUUCCCAGAGCUCUAGGGCAGAGGCUUAGACUAUGAAAACCGCUUCUGUCUGUGUUCCUCACACAGGAAAGAUGAUGCAGGAAGCCAGGAGGCCUGGGAUUGCCCUCCUAAUGGUCCUACUGUAUGUAUACAUGUGUAGUUGUGUGUGCACACGCAUGCACAUGCUUAGGUGGGUGUCAGGAGGAGUGCAGCAUGAGCCUUUUCAUUUCUGAACCUCCCGCUCUGCCCAGUAUGGGUCCUGGCACACCAGGGGGACUCCCUACACAUGGGUGCUGAGACAUCCUUACCCAAGGCCCUGUGAUUGUAAGAGGAGGUCUUGCCAUUAGCCAGGGUUAUGCUGGGAGCUGUGAUGGGAGGGCCCUGUCGAGGGUGGUGCACACCUGCCCUUGAACGCCUGUGGGUCUCACUGUCAGUGGGAACACUGGCUAUGGCUGAUGUUUGGGUUUCAUGUCCCUUGCGUUGGUUCUGAUUGCAAAACAAAUGGUUGUGGGUAUGUAGUUGUAACGUGUAUGCCAGAUAUUAGGACGUGAGGGAUACCUGAGUAAUAGUGAUUACUCUCUAAGGUGCUGGUUGCAUGCAUAGUGUCGGAAAUGGACUGUAGUGAUCGGUGGUAGGUGGGGUAGCAUGUAGUGUUUUGAUUACAUGUCUUACAUGGCAAAAGUGACAAGGAGGCUACAUGUGAUUACAUGGUGAUCACACGGGUUGGUACCUGUUCAUUACACACAGGUGUGCGGGUACAUAUCCGAUUGCUGCUGUAGGUUGGUUUCAUGUAAUGUCUGCUGGUUACGUGGCACUUGGUUCUGUGUAACUUGCUGGCUUCCUGUCCUAUGCUUCACAGAGUGUUUACAUGUCCCAUGGAUCACAGGGCUGUGUUUGAUGUACUGGCAGUUGGUUCCACAUGGACCCUCCAGGUGGGGUGCAGUUCCUUCCUUGGACAGAGGUUCCUGCUCCCCACACUCAUUGUCUCCAGGAGCAUCUGACCACCCAUCGCCUUCAGGAGAUCCUGCAAGCACGACCACCCACCUCCAACAAUCAACCUGGGUGUCCCCAAGGAUACCAUGUGACUCUGGGGUGUGUAGGAGACACGGGGAGCCAGGUCACGGCCUUUCUCUUUCUGUCGCCGCCGGCGCCAGGCGAACAGGCCCAACAGCACCACAAUGAGGAACAACAGGAGGACGAUGCCUGUGACAGCACC